RNAcentral lists this ribosomal RNA (327 nucleotides) under Triticum aestivum (bread wheat). Its description in RNAcentral is "partial small subunit ribosomal RNA". Lineage: Eukaryota; Viridiplantae; Streptophyta; Magnoliopsida; Poales; Poaceae. The record is from RNAcentral.
AUGGCGUCUGUGGAGGAGUUUGAGGAAGAAGAGGAGGAGGUGGAGGGCUUCGAGCAUUUCUUCUAUGCCCGGGAGAAUUGGGUUGCCUGGGCAGAGGAGGAGGUGGAGAGGCGUCGGUGGGAGGAAGAUGAGAAGGCGUGGAAGACGGAGGAGAGCAGGUGGAGACGCGAGGCACACGAAGCGGUCAUGGACUCCAUCAUCCAGCACGAUCCCAAGGUGGGGCGCGAGGUCUACACCCGGUUUUUUCUCAGAGACUUCUCCGUCUUCGACAUCAACGAGGAGUGUAAGCAUAGCAGCCUCUCCAUAUCUCCUACGAGGCCAGUCUAA